Molecule: unclassified non-coding RNA, 254 nt
Filed under: uncultured Acidimicrobiia bacterium
Lineage: Bacteria; Bacillati; Actinomycetota; Acidimicrobiia
Description: contains 16S-23S intergenic spacer region
Rfam family: Bacterial small subunit ribosomal RNA
Source: RNAcentral
CACGUAGGGACCAAGCGUUGUCCGGAUUUAUUGGGCGUAAAGCGCUCGUAGGCGGCUUGGUAAGUCGGGUGUGAAACCUCCAGGCUCAACCUGGUGACGCCACCCGAUACUGCUAUGGCUUGAGUUCGGUAGGGGAGCGGGGAAUUCCUGGUGUAGCGGUGAAAUGCGCAGAUAUCAGGAGGAACACCGGUGGCGAAGGCGCCGCUCUGGGCCGAUACUGACGCUGAGGAGCGAAAGCGUGGGGAGCGAACAGG